CAGAGACUGCAAGCGUUAUUCGGAUUCACUGGGCGUAAAGGGUGCGCAGGCGGUUGGGUGUGUCAGAUGUGAAAUCCCGAGGCUCAACCUCGGAACUGCGUCUGAAACUACUCGACUAGAGUACUGGAGAGGGCAACGGAAUUCACGGUGUAGCAGUGAAAUGCGUAGAUAUCGUGAGGAACACCAGAGGCGAAGGCGGUUACCUGGACAGUUACUGACGCUCAGGCACGAAAGCAUGGGGAGCAAAAGGGAUUAGAUACCCCUGUAGUCCAUGCCCUAAACGGUGCACACUAGGUCUUAGCGGAUUCGACCCCACUAGGGCCCAAGCUAACGCGUUAAGUGUGCCGCCUGAGGACUACGGUCGCAAGACUA
This 372-nucleotide ribosomal RNA is filed under the name uncultured organism. RNAcentral describes it as "bacterial SSU rRNA". It matches the Rfam family "Bacterial small subunit ribosomal RNA", at positions 526 to 896 of the family's 1533-position model. The record is from RNAcentral.